This 203-nucleotide small RNA is filed under the name Pluralibacter gergoviae. RNAcentral's name for it is "Enterobacter gergoviae GlmZ RNA activator of glmS mRNA". It matches the Rfam family "GlmZ RNA activator of glmS mRNA". Rfam says of the family: This RNA was discovered in E. coli during a large scale screen. Lineage: Bacteria; Pseudomonadati; Pseudomonadota; Gammaproteobacteria; Enterobacterales; Enterobacteriaceae. The record is from Rfam by way of RNAcentral.
GUAGAUGCUCAUUCCAUCUCUUAUGUUCGCGCAAGCCUCAUAAACUCCGGAAUGAUGCAGAGCCAUUUGCGGUGCUUAUCGUCCACUGACAGAUGUCGCUUCGGCCUCAUCAGACACCAUGGACAUAACGUUGAGUGAAGCACCUUUUGUUGUCAAAACGACCUGUUUAACGCCUGCGCUGGCUUCAGCGCAGGCGUUUUUUU